RNAcentral lists this small nucleolar RNA (107 nucleotides) under Sorghum bicolor (sorghum). RNAcentral describes it as "Plant small nucleolar RNA R71". It matches the Rfam family "Plant small nucleolar RNA R71". Rfam says of the family: R71 is a member of the C/D box family of snoRNAs containing the C (UGAUGA) and D (CUGA) box motifs. Lineage: Eukaryota; Viridiplantae; Streptophyta; Magnoliopsida; Poales; Poaceae. The record is from Rfam by way of RNAcentral.
AUUCCAUGAUGGGGACAUUCUAGGAUGUAGUCUUGAAAACGCUCCCAUGCUUCUGGAACAGAGUCAGCAAUUGGUGCUGGAAAACUCGUGAUCUCCGCAGCGAGGAG